This 26-nucleotide non-coding RNA is filed under the name Homo sapiens (human). The record is from RNAcentral. Lineage: Eukaryota; Metazoa; Chordata; Mammalia; Primates; Hominidae.
ACCCACAGCUGGAGCGGCAAAUGGAA